Molecule: ribosomal RNA, 254 nt
Filed under: uncultured bacterium
Lineage: Bacteria
Description: partial 16S ribosomal RNA
Rfam family: Bacterial small subunit ribosomal RNA
Source: RNAcentral
GACGAACCGUGCGAACGUUAUUCGGAAUCACUGGGCUUAAAGCGCGUGUAGGCGGGAGGGCACGUCGGUCGCUGAAAUCCCCCGGCUCAACCGGGGAAGUGGCGCCGAUACGACCUUCCUGGAGGAACGUAGGGGGACCUGGAACUUCCGGUGGAGCGGUGAAAUGCGUUGAGAUCGGAAGGAACGCCCGUGGCGAAAGCGGCGUGCUGGACCUCUUCUGACGCUGAGGCGCGAAAGCCAGGGGAGCAAACGGG